GACGAACGCUGGCGGCGUGCCUAAUACAUGCAAGUUGAGCGAUGAAGAUUGGUGCUUGCACCAAUUUGAAGAGCAGCGAACGGGUGAGUAACGCGUGGGGAAUCUGCCUUUGAGCGGGGGACAACAUUUGGAAACGAAUGCUAAUACCGCAUAACAACUUUAAACAUAAGUUUUAAGUUUGAAAGAUGCAAUUGCAUCACUCAAAGAUGAUCCCGCGUUGUAUUAGCUAGUUGGUGAGGUAAGGGCUCACCAAGGCGAUGAUACAUAGCCGACCUGAGAGGGUGAUCGGCCACAUUGGGACUGAGACACGGCCCAAACUCCUACGGGAGGCAGCAGUAGGGAAUCUUCGGCAAUGGACGAAAGUCUGACCGAGCAACGCCGCGUGAGUGAAGAAGGUUGUCGGAUCGUAAAACUCUGUUGGUAGAGAAGAACGUUGGUGAGAGUGGAAAGCUCAUCAAGUGACGGUAACUACCCAGAAAGGGACGGCUAACUACGUG
RNAcentral lists this ribosomal RNA (497 nucleotides) under uncultured bacterium. RNAcentral's name for it is "partial 16S ribosomal RNA". It matches the Rfam family "Bacterial small subunit ribosomal RNA", at positions 28 to 507 of the family's 1533-position model. The record is from RNAcentral.